CCCUUAGAUGUUCGGGGCCGCACGCGCGCUACACUGAAGGAAUCAGCACGUCUUUCUCCUUGUCCGAAAGGACUGGGUAACCCGCUGAACCUCCUUCGUGCUAGGGAUUGGGGCUUGUAAUUCUUCCCCAUGAACGAGGAAUUCCCAGUAAGUGCGAGUCAUCAGCUCGCGUUGAUUACGUCCCUGCCCUUUGUACACACCGCCCGUCGCUACUACCGAUUGGGAAAAUUUUAGAGAGUCCUGGACUGAUGAUUGUUCGGCUUCACGGCCUUACUUUCGUCGGGAAAGAAUUCGAUAAUAUUUUUCUAGAGGAAGUAAAAGUCGUAACA
Molecule: ribosomal RNA, 329 nt
Filed under: uncultured eukaryote
Lineage: Eukaryota
Description: partial 18S ribosomal RNA
Rfam family: Eukaryotic small subunit ribosomal RNA
Source: RNAcentral